RNAcentral lists this ribosomal RNA (441 nucleotides) under uncultured bacterium. RNAcentral's name for it is "partial 16S ribosomal RNA". It matches the Rfam family "Bacterial small subunit ribosomal RNA", at positions 338 to 795 of the family's 1533-position model. The record is from RNAcentral.
CCUACGGGAGGCAGCAGUGGGGGAUAUUGCACAAUGGGGGGAACCCUGAUGCAGCGACGCCGCGUGUGUGAAGGAGUGCUUCGGCAUGUAAAGCCCUUUCGGCAGGGAAGAAGGAUGACGGUACCUGACUAAGAAGCUCCGGCUAACUACGUGCCAGCAGCCGCGGUAAUACGUAGGGGGCGAGCGUUAUCAGGAUUGACUGGGUGUAAAGGGAGCGUAGACGGCGAUGCAAGCCAGGAGUGAAAGCGCGGGGCCCAACCGGGGGACUGCCCUUGAAACUGGAUGGCUGGAGUGCGGGAGAGGCAGGCGGAAUUCCUGGUGUAGCGGUGAAAUGCGUAGAUAUCAGGAGGAACACCGGCGGCGAAGGCGGCCUGCUGGACCGCGACUGACGUUGAGGCUCGAAAGCGUGGGGAGCAAACAGGAUUAGAUACCCGGGUAGUC